Molecule: transfer RNA, 73 nt
Filed under: Caudoviricetes sp.
Lineage: Duplodnaviria; Heunggongvirae; Uroviricota; Caudoviricetes
Description: tRNA-Pro
Rfam family: tRNA
About the family: Transfer RNA (tRNA) molecules are approximately 80 nucleotides in length. Their secondary structure includes four short double-helical elements and three loops (D, anti-codon, and T loops).
Source: RNAcentral
CGGGGCGUAGCGCAGAGGGUAGCGCACCUGACUGGGGGUCAGGGGGUCGUCUGUUCAAAUCAGAUCGCUCCGA